RNAcentral lists this ribosomal RNA (359 nucleotides) under uncultured Opitutus sp. RNAcentral's name for it is "bacterial SSU rRNA". It matches the Rfam family "Bacterial small subunit ribosomal RNA", at positions 1024 to 1382 of the family's 1533-position model. Lineage: Bacteria; Pseudomonadati; Verrucomicrobiota; Opitutia; Opitutales; Opitutaceae. The record is from RNAcentral.
GAACCGGAACACAGGUGCUGCAUGGCUGUCGUCAGCUCGUGUCGUGAGAUGUUGCGUUAAGUCGCGCAACGACGCGCAACCCCUGUCCUUAGUUGCCAUCAUUAAGUUGGGGUACUCUAGGGAGACAAACCCUCUCUGAGGGUGGGAAGGUGGGGAUGACGUCAAGUCAGGAUGGCCCUUACGGCCUGGGCUGCACACGUGCUACAAUGCCCGAUACAGAGGGAAGCAAUACCGCGAGGUGGAGCAAAUCCUCAAAAUCGGGCCCAGUUCAGAUUGUAGUCUGCAACUCGACUACAUGAAGUUGGAAUCGCUAGUAAUGGCGCAUCAGCUACGGCGCCGUGAAUACGUUCCCGGGCCUU